Molecule: long non-coding RNA, 293 nt
Filed under: Panax ginseng (ginseng)
Lineage: Eukaryota; Viridiplantae; Streptophyta; Magnoliopsida; Apiales; Araliaceae
Description: long non-coding RNA (PGIN_LNC001509)
Source: RNAcentral
AUCGUUCGUUUAUUCAGAUAAUAGGAUAUAUGAUUUGGAAUUUGGUAUGGUGAUGGAGAGAUCUUAGUAGUAGUAUAUUUUUGGUGUAAUAAUAUUUGAGAACUAAUUUGAUUGGAGGUUGUGAUAUUUUGAAACUCUUAAGGACUUAGGAAAGUUGGUGAUAAAGAGAUAUUAGUAGUAUAUUCUUUGGUGUAAUAUUAUUUGGUGAAUAGUUCAAAUUAAGGAUGAGAUAUUUUGAAGCUCUUGAGGACUUGGGGAGAGUUGGUAAUAUAGUUUGCAUAGUUGUUUUGUUU